This 656-nucleotide ribosomal RNA is filed under the name Salmonella enterica subsp. enterica serovar Dublin. RNAcentral describes it as "partial 23S ribosomal RNA". It matches the Rfam family "Bacterial large subunit ribosomal RNA", at positions 568 to 1221 of the family's 2925-position model. The record is from RNAcentral. Lineage: Bacteria; Pseudomonadati; Pseudomonadota; Gammaproteobacteria; Enterobacterales; Enterobacteriaceae.
AAAGAAGCAGAGGGGGCUUAGUGGUGGGGUGACUGCGUACCUUUUGUAUAAUGGGUCAGCGACUUAUAUUCUGUAGCAAGGUUAACCGAAUAGGGGAGCCGGAGGGAAACCGAGUCUUAACCGGGCGUUAAGUUGCAGGGUAUAGACCCGAAACCCGGUGAUCUAGCCAUGGGCAGGUUGAAGGUUGGGUAACACUAACUGGAGGACCGAACCGACUAAUGUUGAAAAAUUAGCGGAUGACCUGUGGCUGGGGGUGAAAGGCCAAUCAAACCGGGAGAUAGCUGGUUCUCCCCGAAAGCUAUUUAGGUAGCGCCUCGUGAAUUCAUCUCCGGGGGUAGAGCACUGUUUCGGCUAGGGGGCCAUCCCGGCUUACCAACCCGAUGCAAACUGCGAAUACCGGAGAAUGUUAUCACGGGAGACACACGGCGGGUGCUAACGUCCGUCGUGAAGAGGGAAACAACCCAGACCGCCAGCUAAGGUCCCAAAGUCAUGGUUAAGUGGGAAACGAUGUGGGAAGGCCCAGACAGCCAGGAUGUUGGCUUAGAAGCAGCCAUCAUUUAAAGAAAGCGUAAUAGCUCACUGGUCGAGUCGGCCUGCGCGGAAGAUGUAACGGGGCUAAACCAUGCACCGAAGCUGCGGCAGCGACGCUUAUGCGU